This 465-nucleotide ribosomal RNA is filed under the name uncultured bacterium. RNAcentral describes it as "partial 16S ribosomal RNA". It matches the Rfam family "Bacterial small subunit ribosomal RNA", at positions 28 to 507 of the family's 1533-position model. The record is from RNAcentral.
GACGAACGCUGGCGGCGUGCUUAACACAUGCAAGUCGUACGGUAAGGCCCUUUCGGGGGUACACGAGUGGCGAACGGGUGAGUAACACGUGAGUAACCUGCCCACAACUUUGGGAUAACGCUAGGAAACUGGUGCUAAUACUGGAUAUGUGCUCCUGCUGCAUGGUGGGGGUUGGAAAGCUCCGGCGGUUGUGGAUGGACUCGCGGCCUAUCAGCUUGUUGGUGGGGUAGUGGCCUACCAAGGCGGCGACGGGUAGCCGGCCUGAGAGGGUGACCGGCCACAUUGGGACUGAGAUACGGCCCAGACUCCUACGGGAGGCAGCAGUGGGGAAUAUUGCACAAUGGGCGCAAGCCUGAUGCAGCAACGCCGCGGGCGGGAUAACGGCCUUCGGGUUGGAAACCGCUUUCAGCAGGGACGAAGCUUUUUGUGACGGUACCUGCAGAAGAAGCACCGGCUAACUACGUG